GUCAAGUCAGCAUGGCCUUUAUAUCCAGGGCUACACACACGCUACAAUGGUCUGUACAAUGGGUAGCCAAGCCGCGAGGCGGAGCCAAUCCUGAAAGCAGGCCUCAGUUCAGAUUGCAGUCUGCAACUCGACUGCAUGAAGCCGGAGUUGCUAGUAACCGCAGGUCAGCAAUACUGCGGUGAAUACGUUCCCGGGUCUU
Molecule: ribosomal RNA, 199 nt
Filed under: uncultured Anaerolineaceae bacterium
Lineage: Bacteria; Bacillati; Chloroflexota; Anaerolineae; Anaerolineales; Anaerolineaceae
Description: partial 16S ribosomal RNA
Rfam family: Bacterial small subunit ribosomal RNA
Source: RNAcentral